This 253-nucleotide ribosomal RNA is filed under the name uncultured bacterium. Its description in RNAcentral is "partial 16S ribosomal RNA". It matches the Rfam family "Bacterial small subunit ribosomal RNA", at positions 524 to 776 of the family's 1533-position model. The record is from RNAcentral.
UACAGAGGGUGCGAGCGUUGUCCGGAAUCACUGGGCGUAAAGGGCGCGUAGGUGGCCCGACCAGUCAGUGGUGAAAGCUCGAUGCUCAACAUCGAGUCGGCCACUGAUACUGUCGGGCUGGAGCACUGUAGAGGCUCAUGGAAUUCCGGGUGUAGCGGUGGAAUGCGUAGAGAUCCGGAAGAACACCGGUGGCGAAGGCGGUGAGCUGGGCAGUUGCUGACACUGAGGCGCGACAGCGUGGGGAGCAAACAGG